RNAcentral lists this ribosomal RNA (253 nucleotides) under uncultured bacterium. RNAcentral describes it as "partial 16S ribosomal RNA". It matches the Rfam family "Bacterial small subunit ribosomal RNA", at positions 524 to 776 of the family's 1533-position model. The record is from RNAcentral.
UACAGAGGGUGCGAGCGUUAAUCGGAAUUACUGGGCGUAAAGCGUGCGUAGACGGUUUCGUAAGUCGGGUGUGAAAUCCCCGGGCUCAACCUGGGAAUUGCAUUCGAAACUGCGAGGCUAGGGUACGGAAGAGGGAAGCGGAAUUUCUGGUGUAGCGGUGAAAUGCGUAGAUAUCAGAAGGAACAUCAGUGGCGAAAGCGGCUUCGUGGUCCAGUACCGACGUUCAGGCACGAAAGCGUGGGGAGCAAACAGG